Molecule: ribosomal RNA, 335 nt
Filed under: uncultured bacterium
Lineage: Bacteria
Description: bacterial SSU rRNA
Rfam family: Bacterial small subunit ribosomal RNA
Source: RNAcentral
AACGGUGAUUAAUACUAGAUAUACCUUUAUAACAUAAGUUGUAAAGGGAAACGUUUUUUCGCUUUGAGAUCAGACUAUAUCCCAUCAGUUAGUUGGUAGUGUAAGAGACUACCAAGGCAAUGACGGGUAGCGGGUUUGAGAGGAUGAUCCGCCACACUGGUACUGAGACACGGACCAGACUCCUACGGGAGGCAGCAGUGAGGAAUAUUGCACAAUGGAGGAAACUCUGAUGCAGCAACGCCGCGUGGAGGAUGACGCAUUUCGGUGUGUAAACUCCUUUUAUAUGUCAAGAAAAUGACGGUAGCAUAUGAAUAAGCACCGGCUAACUCCGUGCC